AGACAAAUGUCUCCAGCUCCAGAGCCAAGGGAAAAAUUUCCUCACCUAGUUAAUCUUUAUGUUUUCCUCUCAGGGAGGAAAUCCCGGCUGCACCAGCAAAAGAAAUGUUCCCUGGGGUCCAGUAUUGAUGGGGAGGCCAUCCUGAUGGUGAAAUGGGACAAUUGAGACGCCA
This 172-nucleotide long non-coding RNA is filed under the name Canis lupus familiaris (dog). RNAcentral's name for it is "lncRNA (ENSCAFG00040002288.1)". Lineage: Eukaryota; Metazoa; Chordata; Mammalia; Carnivora; Canidae. The record is from RNAcentral.